Schizosaccharomyces japonicus yFS275 is the source of this 72-nucleotide transfer RNA. It matches the Rfam family "tRNA". Rfam says of the family: Transfer RNA (tRNA) molecules are approximately 80 nucleotides in length. Their secondary structure includes four short double-helical elements and three loops (D, anti-codon, and T loops). The record is from Rfam. NCBI's taxonomy places the organism in Eukaryota, Fungi, Ascomycota, Schizosaccharomycetes, Schizosaccharomycetales, Schizosaccharomycetaceae.
GGGGUCAUAGCUCAGUGGUAGAGUGAGGGAUUGCAGAUCCCCAGGUCGCUGGUUCGAACCCGGCUGGUCCCU